CAGCCGCCGCGGUAAUACGUAGGGUGCAAGCGUUAAUCGGAAUUACUGGGCGUAAAGCGUGCGCAGGCGGUUCGUUAAGACAGAUGUGAAAUCCCCGGGCUUAACCUGGGAACUGCAUUUGUGACUGGCGGGCUAGAGUAUGGCAGAGGGGGGUAGAAUUCCGCGUGUAGCAGUGAAAUGCGUAGAUAUGCGGAGGAACACCGAUGGCGAAGGCAAUCCCCUGGGCCUGCACUGACGCUCAUGCACGAAAGCGUGGGGAGCAAACAGGAUUAGAUACCCGCGUAGUCCCUGUCUCUUAUAC
RNAcentral lists this ribosomal RNA (301 nucleotides) under uncultured bacterium. RNAcentral describes it as "partial 16S ribosomal RNA". It matches the Rfam family "Bacterial small subunit ribosomal RNA", at positions 509 to 807 of the family's 1533-position model. The record is from RNAcentral.